Molecule: non-coding RNA, 93 nt
Organism: Mycena vulgaris
Lineage: Eukaryota; Fungi; Basidiomycota; Agaricomycetes; Agaricales; Mycenaceae
Source: the annotation of a GenBank genome assembly
GAUCUGGUGGUGGAAUUGGUACUAUGCCCGCUUUCUGUAUAGGCGAAGCUUUAAUUUAAGCGGGAGUUCCUCGUUCGAUUCGGGGCGAGGUCA